Molecule: long non-coding RNA, 601 nt
Filed under: Calidris pygmaea (Spoon-billed sandpiper)
Lineage: Eukaryota; Metazoa; Chordata; Aves; Charadriiformes; Scolopacidae
Description: lncRNA (ENSCPGG00000014195.1)
Source: RNAcentral
GGGGAAAGUUCCUUCAACUUCAGAGUCUGCAACCCGCUUAGCCCCAGGUGGAAUCCCUGAGGGCCUGUCUGCAUUGCGCUGAGAUCUUGUCUGCCGGAGUUACCACCUUCAAAGAGUAGCUUGGUACAAAUUUGUUUCUGGGGAAAAAAGACAUUCGAAUGUGCCUCGGCUUCAUAGGGAAGUGAAUGGGAAGAUGUCCAUUAAACAUAAGUGAAUGUAGGAUCCAGUUCCAGGCUUUAAAAUGGAAAUGACUGAGGUUUUUCUGGGUUAAUGACAACUUCUGUCUCAAAUGCAACUGCCAUGAAAGGAAAGAGGUUCCUUUUGCAGGACCAGGUAAGGCAGGAGAGAGAUGGACACUCUGACCUGCAAAUGUCUCUUCAUCCUGGAAAGUGAGAUUCUGCUUUUUACCAGCUUCCCUUUCAGGCUGGCCAGUGUGAGGCACGCAGCUCUCGGGAACACUCUUGGAGUGUCUCAAGGAAGCCCUGCUCUGCAAACCUGGAGUCAGCACAGCUCUAUUUCACUGUCACUUCUGACUGCUGAGGGGGACUUGCAGGUCUUCUGCCUGUUGGGAAGAGAGCUGCUGAAAAACAUCUCCUUCUGA